CGUACGCUGGCGGCACGCCUAACACAUGCAAGUCGAACGAAGUAGCAAUACUGAGUGGCAAACGGGUGAGUAACAUGUGGGUAUCUGCCCUUCGGCCUGGAAUAACACGAGGAAACUUGUGCUAAUACCAGAUAAGUCUUAACAGAGAAAGCUUUAUGCACCGAUGGAUGAGCCUGCACUUGAUUAGUUAGUUGGUGAGGUAAUAGCUCACCAAGACUGUGAUCAAUAGCUGAUUUGAGAGGAUGAUCAGCCACAUUGGGACUGAGACACGGCCCAAACUCCUACGGGAGGCAGCAGUGGGGAAUCUUGCACAAUGGGGGAAACCCUGAUGCAGCGAUGCCGCGUGAGUGAAGAAGGCCUUUGGGUUGUAAAGCUCUUUCGUCGGGGAAGAAAAUGACUGUACCCGAAUAAGAAGGUCCGGCUAACUUCGUGCCAGCAGCCGCGGUAAUACGAAGGGACCUAGCGUAGUUCGGAAUUACUGGGCUUAAAGAGCACGUAGGUGGUUAAAAAAGUUGGUGGUGAAAUCCCAGAGCUCAACUCUGGAACUGCCAUCAAAACUUUUUAGCUAGAGUAUGAUAGAGGAAAGUAGAAUUUCUAGUGUAGAGGUGAAAUUCGUAGAUAUUAGAAAGAAUACCAAUUGCGAAGGCAGCUUUCUGGAUCAUUACUGACACUGAGGUGCGAAAGCAUGGGUAGCGAAGAGGAUUAGAUACCCUCGUAGUCCAUGCCGUAAACGAUGUGUGCUAGACGUUGGAAAUUUAUUUUCAGUGUCGCAGCAAAAGCGUUAAGCACACCGCCUGGGGAGUACGACCGCAAGUAAUAUGAUACG
Molecule: ribosomal RNA, 826 nt
Filed under: alpha proteobacterium SCGC AAA240-E13
Lineage: Bacteria; Pseudomonadati; Pseudomonadota; Alphaproteobacteria; Candidatus Pelagibacterales; Candidatus Pelagibacteraceae
Description: SSU rRNA
Rfam family: Bacterial small subunit ribosomal RNA
Source: RNAcentral